GAUGAACGCUAGCUACAGGCUUAACACAUGCAAGUCGAGGGACCGGCGCACGGGUAAGUCACACGUAUCCAACCUGCCCUUUACUCGUGGAUAGCCUUUCGAAAGAAAGAUUAAUACCCGAUACAAAGGAUGGGGAUGCGUUCCAUUAGGUUGUUGGUGAGGUAAAGGCCCACCAAGCCUUCGAUGGUGAGGGGUUCUGAGAGGAAGGUCCCCCACAUUGGAACGAAGCUACGGUCCCAACUCCUACGGGAGGCAGCAGUGAGGAAUACUGGUGAAUGGGGGUUAGCCUGAACCAGCCAAGUAGCGUGAAGGAGGAAGGCGUAUGGUUCGUAAACUUCUUUUAUAUAAGAAUAUGUAUUAUAUGAAUAAGGAUCGGCUAACUACGUGCCAGCAGCCGCGGUAAUUC
RNAcentral lists this ribosomal RNA (406 nucleotides) under uncultured bacterium. Its description in RNAcentral is "partial 16S ribosomal RNA". It matches the Rfam family "Bacterial small subunit ribosomal RNA", at positions 28 to 526 of the family's 1533-position model. The record is from RNAcentral.